Molecule: ribosomal RNA, 492 nt
Filed under: uncultured bacterium
Lineage: Bacteria
Description: partial 16S ribosomal RNA
Rfam family: Bacterial small subunit ribosomal RNA
Source: RNAcentral
AGUGAACGCUGGCGGUAGGCCUAACACAUGCAAGUCGAACGGCAGCACAGUAAGAGCUUGCUCUUACGGGUGGCGAGUGGCGGACGGGUGAGGAAUACAUCGGAAUCUACUUUUUCGUGGGGGAUAACGUAGGGAAACUUACGCUAAUACCGCAUACGACCUACGGGUGAAAGCAGGGGAUCUUCGGACCUUGCGCGAUUGAAUGAGCCGAUGUCGGAUUAGCUAGUUGGCGGGGUAAAGGUCCACCAAGGCGACGAUCCGUAGCUGGUCUGAGAGGAUGAUCAGCCACACUGGAACUGAGACACGGUCCAGACUCCUACGGGAGGCAGCAGUGGGGAAUAUUGGACAAUGGGCGCAAGCCUGAUCCGGCCAUACCGCGUGGGUGAAGAAGGCCUUCGGGUUGUAAAGCCCUUUUGUUGGGAAAGAAAAGCAGCAGGUUAAUACCCCGCUGUUCUGACGGUACCCAAAGAAUAAGCACCGGCUAACUUCGUG